RNAcentral lists this ribosomal RNA (443 nucleotides) under uncultured bacterium. RNAcentral describes it as "partial 16S ribosomal RNA". It matches the Rfam family "Bacterial small subunit ribosomal RNA", at positions 338 to 795 of the family's 1533-position model. The record is from RNAcentral.
CCUACGGGAGGCAGCAGUGGGGAAUAUUGGGCAAUGGAGGCAACUCUGACCCAGCAAUGUCGCGUGAGUGAUGACGGCAAUUUUAUUUUAAAGCUCCUUUUUUUGGAACGUAUAAUUGACGGUAUCAACGGAAUUAGCUCUGGCUAAUUACGGGCAAGCAGCUGCGGGAAUACGUAGGGGGCCAGUGUUGUUCGGAAUGAUUGGGCGUACAGGGUGUGUUGGUGGUUUGAUAAGUUAGAUGUGUAAUUCCCAGGGGUUAACUCGGGUGCUGCAUCUAAGACUGGUAGACUUGAGUACUGGAGAGGAUAGUGGAAUUCCUGGUGUAGCGGUGGAAUGCGUAGAUAUUAGGAAGAACAUCGGUGGCGAAGGCGGCUAUCUGGACAGCAACUGACACUGAGGCACGAAAGCGUGGGGAGCAAACAGGAUUAGAUACCCCUGUAGUC